AUGGACAAAAAAAAAAAAAAAAAAAAAAAAAAAAAA
RNAcentral lists this non-coding RNA (36 nucleotides) under Prorocentrum micans. Lineage: Eukaryota; Dinophyceae; Prorocentrales; Prorocentraceae. The record is from RNAcentral.